This is a long non-coding RNA of Puntigrus tetrazona (Sumatra barb), 10397 nucleotides long. RefSeq lists it as uncharacterized. The record is from RefSeq and is a predicted model, not a curated record. The transcript has 3 exons. NCBI's taxonomy places the organism in Eukaryota, Metazoa, Chordata, Actinopteri, Cypriniformes, Cyprinidae.
GUUUAUUGAUAUAGUGUGAAUAAUAUGCGACCAUCAAUGAAAUAUUAUAGUGUGAUUAAAGGAGUUUAAAAAGUCAUUUACUCUAAUUACAGCUAGUUAGUCCUGUAAUCUUCUGAGGAGAUCAGAUCCUCGCUGGAUGAGUUGAGAAUGACAUGAAACUACAUCUGCUGAUCUUUAGUACACUAUUAUUGAUCUGUUCACUACACACCAGCACACACAAACAAUGUAUGUAUAUAUAUAUUCAUUAACGUACACUGAAAAAGCCUACUUUUUAAGGUAAGUGGAUGCUGGUAAGUUAUUUUAGCUAUAUGUGAACUCAUUUAGUUGAUUUACUUUCCCCAAGAUUUGUUUAUUUAAAUGUGACCCGAAUAAAUUGACUGCAACCACUUACCUUAGGAAAUAAUGUCGUUUUUCACUGUGCACUGUCGCAUUAAAUCGUAAAAUAUCAGAACUUAUAAACGCUGAAGGUGAAUGCAUAUCGAAACGCGUUUUAUUUACUUGUUUUAUUUCGCGCCGGAUGCCGAUCGCUGUUGCUAUGGUAACGUGGCCAGGCCGCACUGAGCUCAAGUCCCUCUGAACGUCUUACCUGAUACACGCAGGCUUUAUAUUGAGUAAAGUGACCCCUAAGAUUGAGUUCUGAUCUGGAAACAUCCGUCGUGAAGUUCAAGCGCGUGCUCGUGGGGCGUGUCAACGCAACUUAUUCAAGUGUCUGCAGCUCCUUCCUAAUACUUCACGUUGUGCUCGAAUGCAUUCACAUCACACACUGCAGAUGUGUAUUUUUAAAAGUUCAAUGUUCGGGUGAAAUAUCAGAAAAGCAGAGAAUCCUUUAAUGGCACAAACCCUUGGAGAUGUAAAGAACGCGCUCCAGUAAGUUGCUCUCUUUGUUGUUAUUUAGUUGUAUGUAGAGGGCGGGACUCGAACUGAAAUGAACAAGGCGCGGCCAAGAACCCCCUUCACACGUGUAGACAAAGGGACCAUCAACACGACCCAAACACGCAGAGGAAAAGUUUUCCCGCGCGCUUCCUCGCGCCCGGACCUCGCGAGGAUCUCAGGUGAGCUUUCGGCACGCGCUCAGGUUGAAGUCGCCUCGCGCUCGAAUCCGUUUCGCCGCGAAUUCCGUCUCAAAAAGUUCUCGAAGAGUUUGCGCGUCAGCUCUCAAAGUUGAGCACAAAGCAGAGGAGCGGUCCUUUGUUCAGCGCGACUCGAGAUGCUCGAACUAGAGAUGAAGAUGAACUAGGAAGAAAGUGGACGGCGAACACCACAGGAUGCAUUUCGGAGAAACUAAAAACCGCAGACUUAUUUUCCACUUUUGGCUCACGAGGGACCGAGGAUGACGCAGGAAGACAAAGCUGUCAAAAGUUGAUCGGAGAAGGAAGUUGACCGAAAAUUACGACCGACAAGUCUUUUACAAUUAAUCCUAAACGAAAGACGAGUUUGUUUGAGCAGAAGCUCCGGGCAUCGAUCUGUUUAAUCUUCCGGAGGAUGUAGCCUUGAUGAAUGAACACAAACUGAAGAAUUCAGCAGACUCCUGCUUUUAAAGCCGUGUUUUUGCUGCUCGGUGGACGAAUACUGAUGAGACUGUGUGAAGAGCAACAGGUUCGUCGAGCAGCCCUUUGUUACAGAACUUAGAAAGGCACGAUGGAGUUUCUUUGUUCUGCAGACCGUGAGGAACCUCCACACACACGAUCUCCUAGAAGACCUCAUACCCCGGAGGAUCCAGCUGACUUUUUAAAAAGUUUGCUAAGAAAAGACCAAAAAAUGUACGAAUUCAUCAUAUGAGGCCAGCAGACACAGGACCUCCAGGACCGGGGGACUUCUGUUUUUAAGGACGCCCUUUGAAGGAUUUAUUUAACUGAUAUUUUCUUUGUGGAAUAUGAUUACUUUCCUUCGGGAUUAUUGGACUGUUCCUGUUCAUCGUCUAGUCGCGGCGGACAAAACAAAGUGAUGGUGAGUUUGUCAGAGACUCUGGAGAUGGACUUAAAGCUGCUGAGGUCAAGCGAUCGCUGAAGUCAUGACGACUGGUCAGCGUGGGACUUUUCUCGCAGUUAUGCAACACAAACACGCUGCUGAUGAACCCAGCGAGGCAGGCCUGUCAGCAGUCGCAGGUUAGCGCUUUUUGCAUUUCAGCAACUUUGACAUCUGUUUCGCACCUAGAUCUCUCGUGCUUCACAAACGCCAGCUCGCGGUGUUAGGACGUCCUGUGGAGUCUGGCUGCGGCUGGAUCCCGGCCCAGGCUCCUCUCACCCUCGCUGAGCGCUGCCUGGCAAGACACCGAGAGAUGCUGUACGUGUCUGAUGACAGGACGUCUGCGAACGCUUGCCAAACGCGCUCUUUCUUGGCCUGCGGAGACUGUCGAAACAGGGCUGUCCUCGUGGGUUAAAAGUGAGCGGAUUUGCACACAUCCAUCUCGAUCUGUAGAGGAUGGGGAGCACGGACAGGUAGACGCUCUGGAGUUUCGGCCUGAAAUAACCCAUCAGCCUGCUCCAAUGAAACAGAUCCCCAGACAGCUCUGUGGACGUCCGUGGCUUAUCAACAAAGACUCUCGCUGGCCUGGAGAAAGAGUUGAAAGCAGCGCCGAGGCUCUUUAAAGUUGAUCUCCUCAGAUAUCGUAUCAAGGCAGGAGUGUAUGUGUUUAGUGCAUGCGGCGAGAGAAGAAUCGCUCCGUUUCAGGUAAAAUCACGGUAAUAAAGUAGAAUGACCUCUGGAGCUGAACGCUCAGGGAACACAUUUCAACCCAUGACCUUCUCAAAACAGUAUUGUUGUAUUUUGAAGAGCUGCUAUGCUCUGUGAAGCUCCAACAAAACCGGUUCAUUGCAAUGAUGCCCAACGUCCUAGGGUGUGUUUACAUGUAUUCACACUGGUUGCUGUGUAAUUGAGACACUGAUACACCCUUUUUGACAAAAACCUUAAAAUGCAAAAAAGAUCACAAGAAUACGAUCACAACUUCUUUGGUGUAUAUUUUGUGGUAGAACUUACUGAACAUCUAAAUUCACUCAUUUGUAUGUGCUGUUAAUAACAGUAACUGACUGUACUGUUAAUCUACAGCUCUUCAUUUUUACAGCAUGUUACUGUUAUACUAGAAUAUAAGGAAAUGAGCUCUGCUCUAAUCACUUCAAACUGUUCGAGGUUACUAGUAUUCAUACAGUGAUAGUAAUGUGAACUGAUUCGAGUCCACUGAGAAUAAAUGUGUCUUAGUACAAAACAGCAAAUAUUUUAAAUGAAUGCAAAUAUUUAAAUAUCUUUAACUCAAAUUGCUAUAACACACAUGCAUGUGCUGAAACACGUAAAAAGAUCAUCACUACUUCAAGUCUUUAAAUGAAGAUCAGAUCUCUCCUGAGCAAAAACACAGUAAUACAGUUAAAUACAGUAGUUACUCUCAAUUUCACUUCAUGACUUUGCAGCUGUUUCUGUGGACUUCACUUAUAUUUCAGUAAAAAACACUCUUUUGGUUAAUCUGAAAGUUACAUUUUACAGUAAUUCAUUGAAUUAAGAUGAUUUUACUGUCUUUCUACAGGUUCUUGCCGUGAAAUAAUUACAGUUUAUUGCUGUUGAAUUUCAAGCGUUUACAUCUAACCCUUUAAACUACAUCCUCAUGAACACUAAUGUGCACACUACAGAGUAACACUGAAUCAGUGAAGGUAAUGAGAUGAGAUUCAUUAAUCAUUAAGACAGUGAUGAACUGUUAACAAGCAGAAUCACGAAAGAAAAGAGAAACAAAAUAAAACUGAACUGAAUUAAAGACAUUAAAUCUGAUUAAACUUCACACAAACCAGACUGAUGAUAUUUCUGUCAGGCGUGACAGAAGUGCUUUUUGACAGAGCUUCAAGUUUUCAGGCAUUUGGCUGCAGUUAAAUAAUACAUGCACGUUUGAAAAGGUCCUGCAAUCUCUUGAUGUGUAAAGACUGUGUGUGUGAAAGGGGCUUGAAUUUCUUAACGUUCAUCGGAGAAAACUGUGUAUAUUACCUCACUAGAUUUGCAGCGUAAAGCGUUUCUUAACCGUUGCCAACACAGCAGAAUGCAUCAACCUACUCCUACUCCACUUAAUAUAUCCCAUUUAUUGUUCAUCGUGAUUUUAAAAUACGUUUUUGGGUUUGCAUAAUGAAAUGCUAACGAAGAUUUACUAACGAGUUUUCCUGAAAGGAAUGUGCUUCACAACAGAAUUACAACAAGCAGAAGAAAACCAGGCGUUAGAAAGAGCCCACCUCAAUCAAACACUGAUCACCACAAAGAUGAGGUCAAGCCCAAGGCCUUUUUCUGUUUUCACUCAUUAGUGUUCACUGUCUCUGUCGGGUGGACUGUGUUAGUAAGACCUGUUUGGAAGUAGACCUGAGACACCGUGAUCUGGUGAUGACUGAGCGCCGUGUUUCACUUUAUCUGCUUCCAAAUGAACAUUUCAACAAAACCCGCUAAGUGUGAGUGUGCUCAAAGCGUGCUUCUCUUUUCACGUGUACACUAGUAUACAUGCAUACAGUGAGAUGACACACAUCUCAUCAUCGGUGCAGGAGACACACCACCAGAUUUGUUUCACACUUGUGCAGAGCAUUUGAUAAAUAUCCCAAACUAAAGAGCAUCUUCAUGGCAUAUGCUUAAUGAUGGCUUUUUAAAACAUAUUAGCAGCUAUAAAAGAGUUUUGAGUGAAGUAUUCCUUCAACGGUUUUGGGAUAUUUCCACAGAAUAAACCCUUCAGAAUCUGAAAAUGAUGAAGAGGCUCCUAUUUCAACGGUCUGUAACUUAUACUUUAUAGUAAUUUUUUGACGUUUUUUUUACGACAAUGCCAUGUAAGAACCAUUUUUGUUUCCGCAAAGAACCACUUAGUGAAAGGUACUUUACAGAAGCAUCUCUUUCUUACCUUUUAUCUAAAGAACCUGCUUUUGUGAAACAGAAAGGUUCUGUUUAUUCAUGAUCUUUAUGUCCGUGAGUGAAGGGUGAAGUUUUGUGAAUGAAAGCGUCAGCUCCUUCCAGGCUCUGUGGCCCUUGUUUGCUUUCCUCUCACUCAUUAACCUUUCCUAAUGCCCUGCAUGUAUUAAUAAUGAUCUGAGGAAAAGGUCAACGCAUCCCAGCAUGCCUUGCAGCAGCAGCAGCACACCGAGUCCCAGCGUUUUCCUCCGGACACCGAGCGCUCGUUACGGGGUGUUUGUGCCGAAGAGAAGACACGGUGAUGUACAGCCGUGUUUGAGUGAGACCCGUGUGUAAAUACAUCUGAUUGGUCUGGGAUUCAGACGGUCAGCGAGAGUCCUGCUCCGAACACAACGUGCUCCAUCAGGUCAGGCGUCUCUGUCUCUGCCGUGGGAAUAUAAGCGUGGACAAAGUGGAAACUCUCAUCAUUUAGACUUUGUCAUUCCAGACCCAUUUUAUAGGUGGGACACAACAGCAGAAUAAUAUUUUUAGCAUGUCACUAAACAGGAGCGUGACUGUACACUACAAGAUAUGAGUUUAUAUGUAAAUGAGUGAUUUGUGACAUAUUCUGAUAAUUAAAAGUAGCCAUAUAAUGUGAAUUAUGAAUAACAAAAAUGCAUGGCAAUUACAGUAAAAUGAACACUUUUAAUUUAUAUAGUUUAAACCCACUUCAUUUUGUUCACUUCUAAACAGUGAUUCUUUACAUCUUGAAAAACACAAAAACUGCUUAAAUGUGCACUUAUGAUAUUUUGUAUAUGCUGCUGGUUAAUAUGACAGGUGUUUUAGCUUCAUAAUGACGUCUACUGCUCUACAAAACAAGAAACAAGCAGACAAACGGGGACACUUUUACAUUUUUAUCUGGUGAUAGUGAAAGAAGACAAGCGUAGCGUAACCUUUAAGUGACUCUGUGUGUGUUUUUUACCCAGCGAAGCUCAUUAAACCCUCACGACAGAAUCAACUACAAAUUAUCUUACAAUUACCUUUCAACAAGAAUUUAUGCGUUUGUAACGUUUUGCAACUUGCUCUUGUAGAAGACAAAGUUUUUCUUUUUUAAAUGUAAUAAUUGUUUUUCAUAUUCAUAUUAUUUUUGGUAUAUUUGUUAAGCACAUGUUUAUAUGUCUUAUUAUUAGUAUGUAUUUUACCGGUGCUGGCAGUGAACUCUUAUUAUUUGGAAAAGAGUAGUUUUGAGUUCAGUGGAAGUCAUCACACUGGAAAGACAAGGAAGCGGAUCAAACACGACAAAGAGAUUGCCUUGUAUGCCAUUCACGUAGGGUUUUUCUUGACAAGCUCUGAUAGUAAAGCGUCUGUCCGUCUCUCUUGACAUUUAUUAAUGCUAUGCGGUUCAGCCAGUAUUGUGACGGUAUGCAUUACCUCUCAGCUACUGCUAACGGCGCUUCAGAGGCUCCUCAAACCGAUACGAAGCAGGAAAACCGGUGAGACGGGAAACUCUCGUAGCACUUUCUUCUAUCACAAUAUGGAUUUCAGUUCGUCAACAGCUUGUUAUCUCUCUAUCCGGCUCCUGCUUUGAGAGUGUAAUAAGCGCAGCGUUCUGCCAGAUCCGUGUACCGUAACGAGAUGAGGGAACCUUAUAUCAGAUGACACUCAAAUCUGAUUAGUCCAGUUGAUGGAAAAUGAUUGCUCUCACUUAUUGUAGGUGCGUCUCUUAAUUUGUUUGUGCAAUCUUGACUCCUAACACAAUAUAAACAACGCGAGGCGAGCGAUCACAUUAGGUGAAGCAAUUUACACCAGACACAAGGUUUUUCUUGGCUAAUAAAGCGUUUGAGCGGGGAUGGGAGCGCUGCAGUGUGUGGUGUCCAGAAGACACGUCCUGAACGAGCUGGAGGUCAGACCUCAGGACCUCCGUCAGGAACAGCUCAUACAGCAUACUGUGCACUAAAAAUCUUUACUUGAUUGCAGCUUCACAAAUACCAGCCAAAACCAAGAUUGAAUAAUGUCUGUUUAACAAGUGAACACAGUAAAACACACUGACAUGAUUUAACAUGAGCCGCUGGGUGAACUCAUUUCAGGUUGGGGCAUUUAGUCACAUUUAGGGUACAGGAUGUUGAAUGUGGAUUCAGAUCAGAAGAAGGCUGUUUUUAAUCCUGUUUUCAUUCUUUUUUCUGUAUUUCUAAAGCACUUUCAACACCUUCAAAUCCCGGUUGACUCUACAAUACAUGUACAGCAUACAUACACACAACUAAAAUCAGGCAAACUGAAUUAUUAUGAAUAAUUUGAAUUAUUGGAUUCUAAAGUAAAUAAUGUGAGAGCUAGCCCCCGUCUCUCCUAACUCAAAGCAGCAUCAUCAGUGUGAUGAAGGCCCGAGCACGUUUUGGGUGUUUGUGAAUGCGUCUGCUGUAUUGUCUCAGACCGUGACUGGUUUCUGUGCCGUAGAUGACGUCUGUCAGCAGCUUUAUCUCACACUGCUCAGUUUCAGCGGGCCCCUCUGCUCGGGUCUGGGGUGUCUCUCCACACUGUCAUGAUGAGGUGUGUAUCGUCUGGCAGUGAUUGAUGUGUGAGACACCAGGACUGUGUGAAAACGCUCUCAUGAAAUACGAGCGCACCCGAUCACGUUAGCUCCAGGUGACUUCAGGACACGAGCUCAGCCUGGGGUUCUCCGUUCUCAGCUUUAAACAGGAACAGCUCAGUACAGUGACGCAGCACAUCAGUGUCUAAACAGCGUGAUGGUCUUCUGAGUAGAUCAGCUUGGUUUACAGUAAUUCUGUUCACAAGCGCUCUGUUUCUGUCUGAACGUCUCUCUCGAAUAAGCAGCUCCUCCUGCAUGCGGGGAUCGGUAGCACAGUUACAUCUCUGUCCUCUGCUGGCGGGAAUACAUGAAUGCUAAAUGACUUCAGUGCAAGAAAACAGAAUUAUAAGUAUAUAAUUUAAUAAGUAUGGAUUAAGUAUGGAUUAAUCUCUAUGCAGUUUUCUGUUUUCAAUUUCUGUUGCAUUCAACGUAUAUGUGUUUAUUAUAUAUCAUAUAAUAUAUCAUAAAAUAAAAUGACAUAUAGUAACAUAAAAAAAAUGGUCAAUGUUACCAACACGUUUCUGAUAUUUUUAUAGCAUUUAUUUAAUACAUGGUCAGAGUUGCUCAAAUCCGUCACGGAGCUCCUCGGGGCAGUACUGACCGUGUGCUCUGAAGACAGGAGAACUCAGCACAGAACGAUUCAUGUCCGUGUGAAGAAUCAGAGCGGUGCGCUCAGCUGUCGUCUCAAUCACCUUUCAUUUCCAUCGCCAGCGGCCCGUGCAUGUUUUUAUUGUUGAGAUGGGAUGGCCUGCUGUCAGUACAUUUGAAUAUUGAAUCUUGAUAACCGUUCUGAAAUUGAAAUUGCAUACAAUGUCCUGCCCUCAAAAAACCUUAUCAUGACAAAAUGUGACUACAUUAGGAUAUCCAGCCAAAUAUAUGAGCCAAACGUUUACGACAUGGGGAAUGGAAUCAAAUCAUAGUGUCCAUCUCGUCUUUAAUGCACACCGAGGUUGUUGUGCGCAGCACCGGGGAAGGCUUCAUGUCCUUUAGGCCUCCGCUGUUCGUCUUUUCCUGCUGAGUAAUCAGAGACGUACCGGCCACAGCUCUGACCCGCAGCUGAACCUGUGCGCCUGACAGACAUUAGUAACACAAGCUUUCAUUUGAGGCUUUAAAUGUGUUUCUUUCCAGGCCACAAAUGGAUCGUCCUGCAGGAUCGACUGAGGUUUGAAGGGAAUAGAUCAGGGAGCGAGAUCUUUACGUGCUCCUUCUGCGUCUGUGAUUGUUGACCUCGCGUGGAGGAAGAGGUCAUUGAGAGGAACGCCAAAGAUCUUGUGCCGGAAGCUUUGAGGAUAGCUGCGUGUCGGGCCGGCCGUCUCUGUGUGUCAGCAGAAUGUGUGGAGAGGUUGUGUCCUGUUCGUGUCGGAGCUGUGCGUAUGUGAACGCCUUCACGCGGAGCGUCGGCCAAGUUUCCUUGCCCAGUAGAUCAGGGCUGGCAUGCCGGCGAGGGCUCUGGAAGGUCAUUCGUUCUGACUUCAGCCGUGCCAGAGAGACGCUGCCAAGCCUGGCCGAUGCACUCUCAGCACAACUCAGUGGCGAACCCUUCCCACCGCAAGCUAGCAUGCUACGGUGCGCUCGCCCUGUGGAGAAAAGGAGGUUGACGGCGUAACCGAAGCCCACCGCACAGAGGAUGCGCUCGGUUCAGCGCUGGGUUAGGCCCACAAGCCCCCACAGAUCAAAGCCUGCGCCCCGUUCACCUCGCAGAGAAAUCAGCAGCGGGCCCCGAGCAGAGCCCUGGUGAACACCUUUGGCUCCGGACAGCCGUUAUGAUUGGCCGCGGCUCAAGCGAGGUCAGCAGGAGAGGAGGCUGAGAGCAGGUCUGUGUGUCAUUUGGCUCAACUACCAGCCGAGUCCAGAUUUCAAGGAUGCAUGCAUGUGUGUGUUAAUGUGUGCUUUCUGCUCGGACGCUGUAGAGGAAGGAUCUCAGCGCUGUGCGGCGGAGCGCUGCAGGGAGGACAUAUUUUUGUUGGCCAACGCACAGAAACAAAUUAUCAACAAAUAUUAACAAAUUUGAACGCUUUCAUUUCCGUCAUUCAGAAUUCAAGUUUUAUUGGUCUCAUACAUACACAGGAGGAAAUAGAGUCAAAGGCUUAAUGUGUAAUACAAUGAAAUGACAGAAUAAAACGUUUUUAUAUAAUUUAACAUUAAAAUAAAAUACAGUACAAAAAAGUGUAAGGUUUAUGGCACGUUUUCUUACAGGAUUACGAGCCGUGUGCGUGCGGUGGGGUCUGUUCAAUUUGAGUGUGUUUUGUUGUUGUUGUUUUUGAAGCUUAACGUUGGUGAUGGAGAAGUCAUGUGACCAUGUAGUUCAUUUAUAGCCUAUUUUUUUUUACUUUGCUGCCAGGCUACAAAAUUUAUUAAAGCAGUGUUCAUGAAGCCAGUGGAAAAAUCUUUUUUUUUUUUUUUUUUUGAGGGAAACAGCUUGAACAACAAAAGAAUCACAUUCAUCAAUAUUUGCCGAAAGAAGCCCCUUGCGAACAUGAUUCAAAGACAUUAGCCAACAUUUCAGUAAGUGCUACAUACAAGGAAGCAGUGCAUUAUUCAUUGUUAAAUAAUUGAUCACGCUAAAUGAGUGUGUUAAACGGGCAGCUCUUGUUUGUAUAUCACAAUGUGAGAGCGUUUACGAAGGACACACCUGAGCUUGACUAUCCUCAGGCACUGGUAAUAAUAAACUCUUGUUAUGAUGGUGCUCUGUUCUCAUCGAGAGGCAAAUGUUAAUGAGACACAGCUGAACAGACCCCACCGCACACACACACACACACACACGGCUCGUAAUCCAGCCCUGGCUUAUAAACACGGCUGGCAGCUCCUGCGCCGUCACCUGGGUGGCCGACCGGUCAGUCUGUGAGAGCGCUUGGAAAGUAAAAGAGCUCCGCUGUUGUUCUUGGUUCUGGCCGCACGCACGCACACACACACACACACACACACACACACACACACACACACACACACACACACACACACACACACACACACACAC